GGGGACUUAGCUCAGUUGGCUAGAGCAACUGGUUUGCAACCAGUAGGUCGAGGGUUCGACCCCCUUAGUCUCCACCA
Molecule: transfer RNA, 77 nt
Filed under: Rickettsiales bacterium
Lineage: Bacteria; Pseudomonadati; Pseudomonadota; Alphaproteobacteria; Rickettsiales
Description: tRNA-Ala
Rfam family: tRNA
About the family: Transfer RNA (tRNA) molecules are approximately 80 nucleotides in length. Their secondary structure includes four short double-helical elements and three loops (D, anti-codon, and T loops).
Source: RNAcentral